AUGAACGUUAAUGAAGAAGACACGACAAGGAGAGACAUGUAUGCGCUUGUGAAAUGGUGUGCCGGGGUUGAUGAGGGGAAAUUUAGUAUUGUUCACAUUAAAUGCAUACGAAAUUUUGAUCUGGAAAGUUUUGUAAACGGCGUGAUUACAUACGAAGACGAAUUUGCCGUCGAGUGGGGUGUGGGAAAACGACCAAAAGGUGGAUUCCCCAUUUAUAUGGCUACCGUUCAAUCAGUUGGAGACAUGAAUACUUUGGAGCGAAAGUUGGACAAACGUUCAAAGAAAGAUUCCGAAGACAACGCCAUUGUGGGAAAGAGAAUCCGUGUUGCCAAACGUCUGUGGGAGGAUGAGGAUGAGGAUGACCCCCCUACUGCCGUGGCCACAGUCAGUGGAACCAAAGCUGCCAUUCACAAUCAAGGGGCUGAAAUCCUAGAUUCCAUUUCCUUGGAAGAACAAGCAGAAAAUAGUGACAACGAGCUCUCACUUGUGCGUCAAGAAUUGCUAGAAAUAAAAAAAUUCAUCUUUACAGAGAUACCUCAGAUAAAAGAAAUGCUCAACAGAAGCUCCAUGCACCUCGGCAGUCCAGGGUCUCUCCCCAGCCCUUCAAACCCUGUUCAAAUAGAAGAAAUUGUCCCAGGUUCAGGUGUUUACGUAUCACGAAGUGUGUGGCGCUCUGCUUGCCAGGCAUCUAGUGGGACUUCAAUGGCAAGGAUUUUGCUGCUUGGGGUGUUUGACAUUGAAACACUCAUCAAAAGUAAUUUGAGAGGAGGGGAAUCCAAGGUUUCAAAGGGGGGAGAUGGGGAGAAAAGAAGCGCCCUGGAUGAAAUAAAAGUGAUUUUGCUAUUUGACAUCAUCUGCCACAGGUCUGUAUGUAUAGUGUUGUGAGCCUUGACUCAGUCAGAUCUCCUCAAGAACAACUUGGGGUUAAGUGCGUUGCUCAAGGGCACAACGGUGGUGAACGGGAUUCGAACUCCAAAUUCCAGGCUACUAGCAUACAAGCCAGGUUCCUUUACUGCUGUGCUACCACCACCCCUUUUGGCUUCGUGCCUGCAUCUGAACCACACCCAUAGAAAUAUUUGCAAAAAAAUGGACAAUCAUAUUAGCAAUAAAGCAAUAAAGGAGCAAUAAAGAUUUUUGUCUUUAAUUUUUGACCAGUGUUUUGUCUGCUUUAUACCUAAAACUUUUUUUCUUUAAAAUCUACCUUUUCAGAUGCUGUUAUGUCAAGACACUCAGUUUCGACUGGCCAGAUCGGAGCAGCCCUGAAUGAGAAGAUGGCAGAACUAAGACUGGCAAUGUCCAGGAAAAAUGUUCAUUAAAAAUGAGUGUUUCCCGAGUGAGUCAAAAAUCAGAAGUUGAAAUUAAAAAGUUUUUACUUGAAAAGUUUGUAUACUGAACAAAAUGCAUUAAAGUUUUUAUUUGAAAAGACCUGGAAUUGUGUGUUCUGAACAAAAUGCAUUAAAGUUUCUAUUUGAAAAGACCUGGAAUUGUGUGUUCUGU
RNAcentral lists this long non-coding RNA (1497 nucleotides) under Carassius auratus (goldfish). RNAcentral's name for it is "lncRNA (ENSCARG00000053815.1)". Lineage: Eukaryota; Metazoa; Chordata; Actinopteri; Cypriniformes; Cyprinidae. The record is from RNAcentral.